Molecule: long non-coding RNA, 1276 nt
Filed under: Bos mutus (wild yak)
Lineage: Eukaryota; Metazoa; Chordata; Mammalia; Artiodactyla; Bovidae
Description: lncRNA (ENSBMUG00000012978.1)
Source: RNAcentral
CCAGACUCCCGAGCCGGGCUCCAUUGUUGUUGGAGCCGAGGGAAGGGGGAGCAAAACAGCUUUAGAAACCCGUGAAGCCGCGCCUUGGAGCCUUUCCAGGCGGGUCCCCGGAGAAGCGGUAAUGGCCGCGCCGUGGGAUCAAGGGAGCCGGGCUGUGCCGCGGAGAAGCCUGGCUGCAUGGUGUGAUGUUGUGUGUGUUUUUUUUUUUUUUUUUUUUUAAGAGCGCCUCGCGUCCCAGCAGAGCCAGCGGAGCAUCCUACUCAGGUGAUGAGGAACCCUCCGGGCACCCAGCGCAGAUCGCUGCUGCCGCUGGACGCCUCCAUUGUUUGACCAUAACAAGGGCCGGAUUCUCACCCAGCAGCAACAGAUUCAGGUUUUUAUGUCCUUUGAGUAGAAUGGAUUCUUACUGAAUUUGCCAGCAGUACCAGAGUUUUAACAGUUUACAUACAUAUUCAGUAAUGUGAUGGCUAUCAUAUUAAGAUGUAAAAGGCACAAUUAAGAGGUAUGUAGGUAUUUUUUUUCUUUUAUUCAAAUGUAUACGAAUGUUUCUAGCAUGGCCACCAAAAUCAGCUUGCCUCUGUUCUGUUCUAGUUUACGUUAUGUGGGCAGAAGGGAUCAGAAAUUAAACAAUCACGCAGCUGCUCAUAUAAUCACAAACCGGUGUCUGCUAUGAAAGUGAGUUAGCACUCUCGAUGAGAAAGUAUUAAAAAGGGGACCAAAUUUUAGAUUUCAGAGAGAGGACUCAGGAAAGACUUUUUUGCAAAAAUAAGCUUUGAGCUGAGAUCUGAAGGGUGAGUAGGCGUCAGUGUAGAAUGAGAUGGGGGAUAAUUUUCCAGGCAGGGGAACGGCAUGUGGGAAGGCCCAGAAUGGGGAAAGCUUUGCCCUUUCCGGGAACUGAAAGAAUGACUUGUGGAUACAUUAUGGUGGGUGAGGGGCAAGUGUGGCUAGGCAGGGGACCAAAUCAUGUCGGGUCUUGUAGGGCAGGUUAAGGAUGUUUUAUUUUAUCCCGAGUGAAAUGGGAAACCAUUACAAGGGUUGGGUUUUAAACAGGGGAAUGACUUAAUCAGAUUUGCAUUUUUAAACAGCCACUCCAGCUGCUGCUACCUGCAGAAUGUGGGAGUGGGGAGUGAAAGUGGGGAAGACCAGGUAGGUGAUUGUCAGAGGUCUGUCAAGAGAGAUGGUCUUUCCCUUCUAGUUCACAUUGACUUCAAACUACCAGCUAUACUAAGGUCAAAAUAGGUAUUUGUCUGUAAAAAUAAAUAAUUUUUUAUUUUCA